GGGUUGUCAAGAGAGGGGAGGAUUUCUUGCUAGAGAUCUCUGUGUACCUGAGUUGUUCCAAGGAGCCACUAGGGACUUCACUUGACUGCUAGGACUUCUCAAAUAUCAUUGAGAUUGGCUUUGUAGCUGCAUCAGUCAGUUCCUUCUGGACUCUGGGAUGCAUCUCAUCAGGACCCAUAGACCCUAUGGAUGUAACAAAAGCUUCAGAAACUCCAACAGAAGGGAAGAACAGAGAAACUUUGAAGCAUGUGAUAAGACAUCUCUUCAGAGAAGACUGCAGCUCAAUGUAUGGAGCAGGUUGUGUGAGUGUUCUUUACCUCCAUCCAAGGGUCGCCAGCUGUAAUAGAACAAUCUGGGUAUGUGAAAGCACUAGCCAGCUUAAUGGAAACUUUUGCAGCUUUGAGAACUUUGGUAAGAGAAUACUGAAAAACUGGUGCAACAGGCUCAAGUAAUAAGAAAGAGGACUCAGGCACAGCCUGCCAGAAAGUGCUACCAAAAUUCCUCACAGAAGAGAGAGAGUGAAAAUGAGCCUUGAAGAAUAAUUUGGACUGUAAAUGACAAUUAGAUGUCUAAGUUAAGGAGGGACCAUAGGUCCAAAGUGGUGCUAUUAAACACAGUUUCUGAAUGAUGAAUGAGCGGAUACAUCUGUCUGCAAUUCUGAUUUACAGGCAAGAUUUCAUCAAUUCAAACUAUUUUCUAAUUUUCAUGUGUACCAUUCAGGUUUCUUUUCUGUGAUUUUCAUGUGAUCUAAAGCAAGAGAUGGUACUGUAAAUGUCUCGCAUAUGAUUGUUAUGACCCUUCAUUUCUACAGAGAGUAGUUAACCUGCGGUGAGAAGAUCUAAAUUUUAGAGAAAAUGAAAUACUGCAUGAUUUCCUAGCACUUUUCUAUUAGUCCAUCACAAACAAGGAAUAGAAGAUACACUUGAACAAAGUCUAGGAUAGCUGAUGUCUGAAAGCUUGGCCCCAAAUCAUGCCAUCAAAAAUGUCUGCUUUCACGGUCUCUUUUUAAGCAUCUUGCCUGUCACCCCAAGUCUCUUAAUGAAUAGGUAAGACACUGAAUCUGAAAUUCACACAAAUUAUUCAAAAACUACCUUGUAAGGCAGUGCUAAACUUCUGGUCUGUCUCUUUAAAAAUGAGAAAAAUAUUGAGUAGGAAAAGUAGAAUAUAGGAGAAAGAAUGAGGAGGAAAAAAAAAAAAAACAGUUAAAUUGUAGUGGUUUUCAGAUUAAUUCAAGUAAAGCGUUAAUCUUGGAAUUUGACUUUCUUGGAACAAUAACAAAAUCACUGGCCAAAAAAGCACUGUACGAUGUAACUAUUUUUCUGUUAUUCGUCUUUUAUAACUUCACCAUUUCCAUUUCAACAGCAAGGAAUCUUAUUAACUCCUCUUCCCGAUGAAAAACAAAAAGCUAUUAUUAUUUGCUUAUUUGCUUAUUCCUAUAUUUGUUUGUUUUUUUUUUUUUUGUUUAUUUUAGAUUAUCGGUAUUUUCAUCACCACAAAUGCCUUUUUAAAAUGACAGUACUAUGUGAUGAGAGGAAAUUAGGUAAUUUUAAAGGGUUGCUUCAAACUUUUGUUGACUUUUUACCUUGGGGUUUUGCUGUGCAGGAGUGCUACAAACACAUAGAAUGACUUCUUGAAAUUUUCAGCUGCUAACGAGACCAGGAUUAAGAAAGUUGGUACAUUUCACCUACAAUUUAUUUGUCAAGAAACUUCAAGUUAAUACCACUGGAGAAUAAACAACAGCAUCUCGCUCUGCAAACUAUAUGAAUGUAAUUGGGAAGAUGAAUUUUUUUUCCUGUGCCUGAUUAAAACAAAUCCAAUAGUGAAUGUGAAAAUGUUUUUGAGUUUUUACAAAGUAUUUUUGGGUGAGUAUUUUUACUGCGUUUGUUUUGAAGAUGCUGUCAUAUGACCAGGAAUAACAACUUAAAAAAAUGAGUAUUACUAAGUAAAAUACAACAUUUAAAUAGAAGAUUUCAAAGUUUAUUGUUGUUAUUUUUAGGUUUUGUUUUCUUUUUAUCCUCUUUGUUUUGUUUGACAAGCUCCUUGCAGAAAGAAAGCAGACACUGUGUGGCAACUGGGUCCCACCUUUUGGAAAAUGUAAAUGAG
Lagopus muta (rock ptarmigan) is the source of this 2103-nucleotide long non-coding RNA. RefSeq lists it as uncharacterized. Lineage: Eukaryota; Metazoa; Chordata; Aves; Galliformes; Phasianidae. The record is from RefSeq and is a predicted model, not a curated record. The transcript is spliced from 3 exons.